GCGGCGGCCCGGUUUCGAUUUAAGCUCGAUUUUGGUCAACGCCGGUUUUCUCCUAGCUCCGGCCACCAAAACUUCCGAUCCUUGGCUCCAUGAACUCCCCUCAACCUGCUGAUCAUCAUACUAGGAGGAUUGCACCUAGAGUGACCGGUUUCACGUUCGUCGGAGCUCGUGGGUUCCCCUUGAUGUUAUUAACAACUCUCUAGAAGGCAUCGAGGCCUGAAAUUGAAGUUUCUACGUCGAAAAUCGAGCUCGCCGGUUUCUGGAAAUUCUCGCCGGUUUCUGGAAAAUUCCGGCCACCUUUAUACUGUUCAAGGUGAUUGACGGUCUUCCUUGGGUGAGCGGUUUUGGUGUGUAUUGUGUUGAAUUGAAGACGCAGCGGGAAUAUCGAUCGGGAAAUCCUACAGGUCAGGAAGAUCAAGGCGGAGUUCGUGCGGGUUAGAGUUUUUGUUUCAGUUUACAGCUUUGUAAAUUGUGAGAUGUAUUAUUGAGAGGUGUGAAGUGUGGUAGUUGUGAGAAAAAAAUUCAGGACGUUUAUUCUAUUAAGUUGUAUAAUUCAUGUUUCGGAUUUUAAUUGUAUUUAAAAUUCGGGGCGUGACAUUACAUCUCUUAAUAUCAGGGAUUGUAAACUAAUGGAUACUGCUUUUCCA
This is a long non-coding RNA of Rosa rugosa (rugosa rose), 647 nucleotides long. RefSeq lists it as uncharacterized. The record is from RefSeq and is a predicted model, not a curated record. The transcript is spliced from 4 exons. NCBI's taxonomy places the organism in Eukaryota, Viridiplantae, Streptophyta, Magnoliopsida, Rosales, Rosaceae.